AGCAAAGUAGAGCAGUCGGUAGCUCGCGUGGCUCAUAACCACGAGGUCGCCCGUUCGAGUCGGGCCUCUGCAAUCA
RNAcentral lists this transfer RNA (76 nucleotides) under Aureimonas altamirensis. Its description in RNAcentral is "tRNA-Met". It matches the Rfam family "tRNA". Rfam says of the family: Transfer RNA (tRNA) molecules are approximately 80 nucleotides in length. Their secondary structure includes four short double-helical elements and three loops (D, anti-codon, and T loops). Lineage: Bacteria; Pseudomonadati; Pseudomonadota; Alphaproteobacteria; Hyphomicrobiales; Aurantimonadaceae. RNAcentral also lists the same sequence under 1 other name. The record is from RNAcentral.